CCCUUAGAUGUUCUGGGCUGCACGCGCGCUACACUGAUGCGCUCAACGAGUUUAUAACCUUGUCCGGCAGGAUUGGGUAAUCUUUUUAAAACGCAUCGUGAUGGGGAUAGAUUAUUGCAAUUAUUAAUCUUCAACGAGGAAUUCCUAGUAAGCGCGAGUCAUCAGCUCGUGCUGAUUACGUCCCUGCCCUUUGUACACACCGCCCGUCGCUCCUACCGAUUGAAUGAUCCGAUGAAUAUCAUGGAUUGAGGAUGCAAGCAGGUUCGCCUGUCUUCAUCUUCGAGAAGUGAAGUAAAUCUUAUCAUUUAGAGGAAGGAGAAGUCGUAACA
RNAcentral lists this ribosomal RNA (329 nucleotides) under uncultured eukaryote. Its description in RNAcentral is "partial 18S ribosomal RNA". It matches the Rfam family "Eukaryotic small subunit ribosomal RNA", at positions 1470 to 1796 of the family's 1831-position model. The record is from RNAcentral.